GGAUUGAAAUGGGGGCACCCUGAUCCAGCCAUNCCGCGUGUGUNAAGAAGGCCUUCGGGUUGUCNAGCACUUUCGGACGGAACGAAAUCGCGCGAUCUAAUAAGUCGCGUGGAUGACGGUACCGUAAGAAGAAGCACCGGCUAACUACGUGCCAGCAGCCGCGGUAAUACGUAGGGUGCGAGCGUUAAUCGGAAUUACUGGGCGUAAAGUGUGCGCAGGCGGCAAGGCAAGUCGAGUGUGAAAGCCCCGGGCUUAACUUGGGAAUUGCGCUCGAAACUACUUUGCUGGAGUGUGGCAGAGGAAGGUGGAAUUCCACGUGUAGCGGUGAAAUGCGUAGAGAUGUGGAGGAACACCAAUGGCGAAGGCAGCCUUCUGGGCCAACACUGACGCUCAUGCACGAAAGCGUGGGGAGCAAACAGGAUUAGAUACCCUGGUAGUCCACGCCCUAAACGAUGACGACUAGUUGUUGGAGGAGUUAAAUCCUUUAGUAACGCAGCUAACGCGCGAAGUCGUCCGCCUGGGGAGUACGGUCGCAAGAUUAAAACUCAAAAAAAUUGACGGA
RNAcentral lists this ribosomal RNA (562 nucleotides) under uncultured bacterium. RNAcentral describes it as "bacterial SSU rRNA". It matches the Rfam family "Bacterial small subunit ribosomal RNA", at positions 359 to 917 of the family's 1533-position model. The record is from RNAcentral.